Molecule: transfer RNA, 74 nt
Filed under: Cordylochernes scorpioides
Lineage: Eukaryota; Metazoa; Arthropoda; Arachnida; Pseudoscorpiones; Chernetidae
Description: tRNA-Glu
Source: RNAcentral
UGUUCAAUGCGGGAAUCGAACCCGGGUCGUAGUGGUCGAAAACCAAACGGUUUAACCAGCCUUCCAACUAACCC